GACUACCAUGGGCGAUUGANNNNNNNNNNNNNNNNNNNNNNNUACCUGGUUGAUUCUGCCAGUAGUCAUAUCGCUUGUCGCAAAGAUUAAGCCAUGCAUGUCUAAGUAUAAGCAACUUUGUACUGUGAAACUGCGAAUGGCUCAUUAAAUCAGUUAUAGUUUAUUUGAUGGUUUUUGCUACAUGGAUAACUGUGGUACUUCUAGAGCUAAUACAUGCAUUCAAGCCCCGACUUCUGGAAGGGGUGUAUUUAUUAGAUCAAACUCCACCUCGAUGGAGAAUCAUAAUAAUUUCUCGGACCUCCUGGCCUCAAAGUAGCCGUGGUUCCCUCCAAUAUCUGGCCUAUGCGCUGCCGAUGAUCAAAUGGAGGCCUACCAUGGUUGUUGCCGUCCAACUUCCCAUGAAUGGACCGCUACCGUACCACUAGACUGCAAAAACGCUCUACCACAUCUGAUGGACUCUUUAGGAGGUCAAAGUCUCGUUCCCCUUCGCAAUUAACCAGAGAAAUCACUCCACCAACUACUAACGGACAUGCCCCACCACCCGUAUAAUCACAAAAGAGCUAUCUUUCUGACCAACCUUCCCAUGUCUGGACCUGGUACCAUCCCCCGCGUUGAAUCCAAUCUAGCCGCAGGAUCCUAUCCUGGUGGCGCCCAUCCGCGCUUUUCUUUAUAUUUUAGCCUUGGGACCGUACUCCCCCCCCAACCCAAAAACUUUGUUUACUUCGUAUGUGCCCAUGGAGGCCUGAAGAAUACAACCGACCGACACACAGUCCGCUUAAUUUACUUGAAAAUACAAGAUCGAUAUCCAGUCUCUUUCCAAAACCUUUCCCACCCUUCUUUUAAUAAAAAAAAAAACCCCUGGGAAAUGCUUUCCCAGAUAUUGCUCUUCCCAAAUUCCACAAAAUUACCCCUCCCCUAUGGAAUUACAAAGGCCCCCCACUAUUCCUAAUACUCUUUUUGGCGAUCCCGAAAAGCAACAUAUAAAACCCUCCGCCCAAUUAAUAACCCCAUGCUUAUAUUUCCCGGCUUAAGGCUUGUUUGAACCUACUAAUUUUUUUAUCUUCAGGGUCCGGGUCCUGGUUUGGCCAAACCCCUAUUCUCAAAGAAAAAACCAUCUCCAAAUCACACGCCUUCGAGGCAAACCUCCCUCCUGGUCCCAAGUAACCAUCACAAUUUUAAAGCCUCAAAUUAUAAUUCUUUUUGGGCCGUGAUUAAGCGCUCUUUGACCCAUCUUCUUCUCCUUUUCUCCUUUG
This 1253-nucleotide ribosomal RNA is filed under the name uncultured eukaryote. RNAcentral's name for it is "partial 18S ribosomal RNA". The stretch from base 46 to 674 matches the Rfam family "Eukaryotic small subunit ribosomal RNA", at positions 4 to 605 of the family's 1831-position model. The record is from RNAcentral.